This 236-nucleotide unclassified non-coding RNA is filed under the name Hevea brasiliensis (rubber tree). The record is from RNAcentral. Lineage: Eukaryota; Viridiplantae; Streptophyta; Magnoliopsida; Malpighiales; Euphorbiaceae.
CGUGAUGCCUAUGGUAGACUUAUUUUGGGUGAUAUCAUAACAUCUGUGAAUGGAAAAAAAGUUACAAAUGGCAGUGACUUGUACAGAAUUCUUGACCAAUGUAAAGUAGGCGAUCAGGUGAUUGUGGAGGUGUUGCGUGGGGAUCACAAGGAGAAGAUUCCAGUAAUACUUGAGCCAAAGCCUGAUGAGUCGUGAAAGGUAUGGCAAGUAGAAAUAGUUGGGUACAUAUACAAGGG